GCUGGGCAAGGUGGCUCAUGCCUGUAAUCCCGGCACUUUGGGAGGCUGAGGCAGGAAAAUCACUAGAGGCCAGGAGUUCAAGACCAGCAUGGGCAACAUAAAGAGAUCCUGGUUCUACUAUAUAUAUAUAUAAAUUAGCCAGGUGUGGUACAUCUAGCUACUCUGGGAGGCUGAGGCAGAAGAACUGAACCUGGGAGUUCAAGAUUGCAGUGAACUAUGAUUAUACCACUGCACUCUUGCCUGGGCAACAGAGUGAGACUCUGUCUCA
This 268-nucleotide small RNA is filed under the name Pan troglodytes (chimpanzee). Lineage: Eukaryota; Metazoa; Chordata; Mammalia; Primates; Hominidae. The record is from RNAcentral.